UUUGCACAUGUGGAGUUUGAGUUGCCUGUGGAACAUCUUGGGCUCUUUGAACAUUUUUUCAGAUGUGAGGUGAUGAUGGCCUUCCUAAAGUACCUUCCUUUCAUUCUGUGAUAGGUUUUCCUCCUUCACAGAGAAAAUGGAAUACAGUGAUGCAGUAGGGUUCUAAUCAUGACUGCUAUCUCAGGAGAUGGGAGCAACAUAGCAGCCAGGGACUCUGCUACAGGGGCAGUGCCUCUGAGUUCACAGGGGGCUCCUCCCGCUGACAAACUAAAACCAUGACCGUCUGGGUAGAUCAGAUUCCUCAGAGGCAAUUCAGGAGGGAAAUGGAAUUCCUCUGGAAAUACACAUCAUGGAAGCUUGAGUUCUUUUGUGUGGCUGGAGUUGUAUCUCUGAUUCCAAAAAGGAUGCCAUCUCUGGAAGACAGGGACUGAGCCAAGGGCAUGGACCUAGGAUUUGACUCUCAGCUUUGGAAUCCUGCUGACUUCUAGUUUCCACAUCUCAUCGAAAAGUCAGGAAGCAGCUAAAGCAAAUACUGCCUUUCGCAUUAGACCUAAGUGCAGCUGGAGCUUCAAAAGAGAAGCUUAGUUUCCUUCCCCAGUUGGAAUGCUCCAAUAUUUCCCUACUUUUCAAUAAAAUGCUGAAAAGAAA
Macaca mulatta (Rhesus monkey) is the source of this 648-nucleotide non-coding RNA. NCBI's taxonomy places the organism in Eukaryota, Metazoa, Chordata, Mammalia, Primates, Cercopithecidae. The record is from RefSeq and is a predicted model, not a curated record.